This 235-nucleotide ribosomal RNA is filed under the name Klebsiella pneumoniae. RNAcentral's name for it is "partial 23S ribosomal RNA". It matches the Rfam family "Bacterial large subunit ribosomal RNA", at positions 1 to 227 of the family's 2925-position model. The record is from RNAcentral. Lineage: Bacteria; Pseudomonadati; Pseudomonadota; Gammaproteobacteria; Enterobacterales; Enterobacteriaceae.
GGGUUGUGAGGUUAAGCGACUAAGCGUACACGGUGGAUGCCCUGGCAGUCAGAGGCGAUGAAGGACGUGCUAAUCUGCGAAAAGCGUCGGUAAGGUGAUAUGAACCGUUACAGCCGGCGAUGUCCGAAUGGGGAAACCCAGUGCAAUUCGUUGCACUAUCGUUAACUGAAUACAUAGGUUAACGAGGCGAACCGGGGGAACUGAAACAUCUAAGUACCCCGAGGAAAAGAAAUCA